AAGAAGCUUCACCAACACGCGGGGUAACUUCGGCCGUGUCAGACCGCCGCCGUGGGUGUUGAACCUCGGAUUGAUUUGAGCAGGAGUUUUGGGACACAAGUUCACUAGCUGCGCAGAGCUGCAUGACGCAUCACGUGGUAGUUCGCCACUGUAUUCUGUUGACUCUGCGUCUUUGUGAACUUCUUGGAGAAGAGACUGCUUCAGUUGUUCAUGUACCAUCUGUUUUGUUAUUCUUCACUCAGUGCAUUUUAAGUUUUCCUCUCCUGGUG
Molecule: long non-coding RNA, 269 nt
Organism: Salarias fasciatus (jewelled blenny)
Lineage: Eukaryota; Metazoa; Chordata; Actinopteri; Blenniiformes; Blenniidae
Exons: 3
Source: RefSeq, a predicted model, not a curated record